UCCCUGGUGGCUCAGAUGGUAAAGAAUCUGCCUGUAAUGCAGGAGACCCUGGUUUGAUCCCUGGGUUGGGAA
RNAcentral lists this transfer RNA (72 nucleotides) under Ovis aries (sheep). It matches the Rfam family "tRNA". From Rfam's summary of the family: Transfer RNA (tRNA) molecules are approximately 80 nucleotides in length. Their secondary structure includes four short double-helical elements and three loops (D, anti-codon, and T loops). Further hydrogen bonds mediate the characteristic L-shaped molecular structure. tRNAs have two regions of fundamental functional importance: the anti-codon, which is responsible for specific mRNA codon recognition, and the 3' end, to which the tRNAs corresponding amino acid is attached (by aminoacyl-tRNA synthetases). tRNAs cope with the degeneracy of the genetic code in two manners: having more than one tRNA (with a specific anti-codon) for a particular amino acid; and 'wobble' base-pairing, i.e. permitting non-standard base-pairing at the 3rd anti-codon position. The record is from Rfam by way of RNAcentral. Lineage: Eukaryota; Metazoa; Chordata; Mammalia; Artiodactyla; Bovidae.